AUGGACGCCGAUGAUGCCGCCCGGAGCCGCAGAAGGAUGGAUCUGAACCUCUACCUCGGCCUCCCCCGCGCCCCGCGCCCGCGCCGCCCCGAUCUCGGCUCCGACCUCGCCCUCGGCAAUUCCAUGCUCUCCUCCUCGCCUUCCUCCUCCGCCGCCUCCGCGGACGCCCCGCCGCCCGACCGGGACCGGGACCGGGACCUGGACCCGCUCCACCCGCCCUACUCCCCCACCCGCGCCGACCUGAUGCGCCCGCCGCCCGAGCCAUACCACAUCUCCGCCUCCGUGCUGCGCGCGCCCUACCUCCAGGCCGAGGAGGUUCCCAUAACCGAGCUCGCCCAAGAGUUCGGCUUCUCGCACCCGCCCCCGCCACCCCCACCGCCGCCGCGGCCCAGCGAGCUGCUCGGCUGGGUCGACCGCCCCUCCUCCUCCACGGCCUCCUCCACCUUCCGCCCGGAGCGUUCCGAGCGCUACCGCCGCGCCAUCUCCAUGAAUGGCCGCCAGCUGCGCUGCCUCCGUCCCAGGCGCUUCCGCUCAGACCUUCCUCCUCUCAGCUCCGAGGCCCCUAGCCCGGACAACGAGGCUGCACUGGAACCGCCGCAACAGCAGCCCGUGCAGGAUGCCGUCGAGGAGAAUAAGGUGGUUGACAAUGGUGCCAUGGUGGGUGCCGAGGAUGAGCCGGCGGACCGUGGCAAGAGCACUGCCAUGUUUGAGUGCAACAUCUGCUUUGAGAUGGCCGACGAGCCGGUGGUCACUUCUUGCGGCCAUCUCUUCUGCUGGCCUUGUUUGUACCAGUGGCUGCAUAUUCAUUCCACCCACAAGGAAUGCCCUGUCUGCAAAGGUGAGGUCACUGAAGGAAACAUCACUCCUAUCUAUGGGAGAGGGAAUUCAACUUCCGAUGUGGAGAAGAAAGUCGCAGACGAUGGCAACGUGUCCAGUCCUAACAUUCCCGCCAGGCCACAUGGGAACCGGCUUGAGAGUUUUCGACAACAGUUCCAUCAUUUGCGCCCAAUUUCUCGUAGGCUUGGCGAGGCACAUGGGAUAUUAUCUUCUUGGAGACGCAUUCUUGAUCAGCAGAUUAUGACUAGCGCGAGUAGGUUUGAAGGGCCUCCAGAAUCAUCUGUCCAGGAGAUGAUAGAUCAUGCUCAUCAGACUGGCCGUUUAAGCCGAAUUACUACUAGGAUGAGAGCAAGGAGGUUGCAAAGGGAAGCAGAAAAUCCUGCAUUUGUUUCUUCAUCUAUUCCAGACGGCGGGAUGCCAGGAAGCAGCACGCCGGAUCCUCCUAGGCGUAGUUCAAGUCCACUUUCCUCGGAAGGAAUUGAUUUAUUGCAACGCCUUACCCUUGUUGGCCUUGCAAAUACGGAAAGGUUGGCAACUGCAGUGAGCGAUCUUAGAAGAAUAUCCAGGCCAAGCCUCCGAGCAUCAACUUCGUCAAAUUUACCAAAUCAUGAGCCGCCAGUUGAUGGAAUUCAUGCUGCUGCAGCACCGUCUGCAGAUCAAACUUCUAAUUCAAGCACAAUGGCUGUGAUUCAGGAGGAUGCUGCUUUUACUGAAAGCGUAGGAGAACCUAGCAAUGCAGGGUCCUCAAGAACCCUGAGGAGGAGGGGAAGAAGCGACGCCUUAGGUUCGUUGGAUGUGGAUGGUGGCGAAACACACCGGAACAAGAGAAGGCGGCUGAACUAA
Molecule: ribosomal RNA, 1680 nt
Filed under: Triticum aestivum (bread wheat)
Lineage: Eukaryota; Viridiplantae; Streptophyta; Magnoliopsida; Poales; Poaceae
Description: partial small subunit ribosomal RNA
Source: RNAcentral